RNAcentral lists this ribosomal RNA (484 nucleotides) under uncultured bacterium. RNAcentral's name for it is "partial 16S ribosomal RNA". It matches the Rfam family "Bacterial small subunit ribosomal RNA", at positions 29 to 507 of the family's 1533-position model. The record is from RNAcentral.
AAUUAACGCUAGCGGCAGGCAUAAUACAUGCAAGUUGAACGGCAGCACAGGUAGCAAUACUGGGUGGCGAGUGGCGCACGGGUGCGUAACACGUAUGCAACCUACCCUAUACAGGCGAAUAACCUUUAGAAAUGAGGGCUAAUACGCCGUAGUAUUACAGAUGGGCAUCUAUUUGUAAUUAAAGAUUUAUCGGUAUAGGAAGGGCAUGCGUCCCAUUAGUUAGUUGGUAAGGUAACGGCUUACCAAGACGAUGAUGGGUAGGGGAUCUGAGAGGACUUACCCCCACACUGGUACUGAGACACGGACCAGACUCCUACGGGAGGCAGCAGUAAGGAAUAUUGGGCAAUGGCCGCGAGGCUGACCCAGCCAUGCCGCGUGCAGGAAGACGGCCUUAUGGGUUGUAAACUGCUUUUAUACGGGAAUAAUAGAGUGUACGCGUACAUUUAUGCAAGUAUCGUAUGAAUAAGCAUCGGCUAACUCCGUG